Molecule: ribosomal RNA, 253 nt
Filed under: uncultured bacterium
Lineage: Bacteria
Description: partial 16S ribosomal RNA
Rfam family: Bacterial small subunit ribosomal RNA
Source: RNAcentral
UACGUAGGGUGCAAGCGUUGUCCGGAAUUAUUGGGCGUAAAGAGCUCGUAGGCGGCUUGUCGCGUCGGCUGUGAAAACCUGGGGCUCAACCCCGGGCCUGCAGCCGAUACGGGCAAGCUAGAAUUCGGUAGGGGAGACUGGAAUUCCUGGUGUAGCGGUGAAAUGCGCAGAUAUCAGGAGGGACACCGGUGGCGAAGGCGGGUCUCUGGGCCGAUAUUGACGCUGAGGAGCGAAAGCGUGGGGAGCGAACAGG